Molecule: long non-coding RNA, 5372 nt
Organism: Schistocerca cancellata (South American locust)
Lineage: Eukaryota; Metazoa; Arthropoda; Insecta; Orthoptera; Acrididae
Exons: 2
Source: RefSeq, a predicted model, not a curated record
CGUCGUUGCUGCCCAGCCCUGUGGAUCCCUCUGCCUGGCUGCUGCUGUGUAGAUUCUCUGACACCUGUGACCAAGACCGCGCUGUGGCCGGUCCUGCUGUAGUUGGUCAGCCAUGGUGCCGACUGAACUCGGGCAGACUCCCAAAGCUGAAGUUGACAUCCGGUGGCGAACGGAUGACUCCUGCGAGCUAGAACAGACUUCCGGAAUCGUCACCUACGAAGAUUGAACAUUUGGACAGACCAUGUCUCUCCUCAGAUCCGAACUGCUUCCGGAUGGCUUCUGUCCAUUGCUGCCUGUGCUCCACUAUUUAUAUCCGGCAGGAGGACGUUUUUUACCCUCGGUGGUAGCUUUUUGUUAUUACUCCCGCAGUAUAUUGCAGCGUAACUUGGCGUGCUGGCCUCACUUCCCCUUACUCAGCACUCUCCAGUCUUCGCUCAGCACUCAGUCUGUGUGCGUCCUUGCCUCAGCUUGUUGGUAGACCGCUUCUGUCAGCAAGGCUAUCUGUGCUGCACUUACUUUGCAACGCCUCAGUCGCCGGCUGCCUCAGUUUUGCCAUUCUCCACUGCGUGAAGCAACACUUACUACAUGUGGCCGCAACAGGAUAGUUUACACGACCCUUGUACAUAUUUGGAAUAAUCAGCACAGUUUACAAACAUCAUAGGUUACACUAGCUACUAAGAUAACCUCAGAUAACAUUUAAUAAUAGACCGCUUAAGUGCUCCCUGGUCAAUAAUACUGCGCAAUAUUUCUUGAUGCACAAUAAUAUUAAACGUGUCGGGGCAAGACUGAGAGGUUGCACAAUAAUACUGAACACAUCAAAAACUUUUGAAACAGAUUGUCCAUCCACACUAAUGUGACCACUUAUCAGAAGGCUGAAUAACGACCUUUUGCAGCGCAGAUCACUGCGAGAAGUGCAGAAAGUGUGUCAUUGAGGUUCUGGGAGGCACCGACUGAGAUGCAGAGCCAUGCCAACUCCAGAGCUGUGGCCAGUUGCACUAGGUUCCUCGGAUGGAGUUCCAUGGCUCAAACAGCUCGAUCGAGAUGGUACCACAGAUUUUCGACUGGGUUGUAAAUAAAAAGUUAAACACACUUACAUAUGCAGUAAAAAUCCUCGCACAAAAUACAAGCCGUGUGUCAGUGAUCACAAUGUACCAUGGCAGUAUUCACUCAUGUCUGAUGUACGGAAUUACCUUUUGGGGGAACUGCAUAGGUACAAACAAAACAUUUAGGCUACAGAAAAUGAUUGUUAGAAUAAUAAACCAUGCUAAGUACAGAGACUCCUGUAGAUCAAUAUUUAAAAAUCUCACUAUACUGCCUCUUCCUUGUUUAUAUAUGUAUGAAAUACUAAAUUUCACAAAAGGAGGUAUAUUAAACGAUGGAAAUAUCUUCUAGUACAACUGUGAUUACCACCCUCAUGAUACUAGGCAGAAGCAUUAUUUGCAUGUCAAUACUGUAAGUACAAACAUUUGUAAAAGAGGAGUGUAUCAUACUGGCAUAAUGCUGUACAAUCACAUGCCAUCCUAUUUGAAACAGAUGCAAAAUUUACAAAAGUUUAAAGUGAAACUGAAAGAGUACUUGCUUGAGCACUGCUUCUAUUCUGUUUCCGAGUUUUUAGAGUACCAGAAAAGUAUAGUGUAACUGCUCAAAUAUUCUUAACCAAUCUAUCAUUUUAUUUCAUUAUAUUAAUUUUGUCAUUAAUUUCAAUAUGUACUGAAUAAUUUUUAAUUAUGUAUCUUCUCAAAAUAACAAUGUGUAUGAUGUUGCGUAUACUGUACCAACCUGACUUGUUCUACAUCCUUUGUGCAAAAUAUGUACCUAAACACGAUUUACAGGACCAAUAAAGAAAUACAAAUGCAAUGUUUUUUAUCAGGACCUUUUUAGGAGGUGCUGACUUGACCCGCAAAAUGCUAUGCUAGCAAUUCUUUAUCGUGGCCCAUCUGCAGUUUUGAAUAUCCUACAAACACAAGUAUACGCUUCCAUUUGCUUUAUCAAAAACUAGCAUACAUAGUCAUUCGACUUAGUUUCUCUACUCACCAAUAGAACUUGGUAUUUGUAUGACAUGACUGAUUGGUUGUGACUCAUUAGUCGUAUUAUUAAUGCCUGAUACAUUUAUGCAUUUCGUGAAGUGCCCAGUUUUAGGAGGUUUAGUCAAUUAUUAUCCGCAAUUUCGUUAUAUUUUUGUUUACUUUGGUGGUACUGUCGUUUUACGUUGAUGACGAAUGUUUUGUUUAUUUGUUGUCAUAUCUUCGCAAUUUUCAAGCUGCUACGUUAGUUUCGUUAUUGCUGCCGUGCUGUUGCUCUUGGCUGCUCCGCUGUCUGUCUGCACCAAAGAAGAACUACGUUCAGUGAUCCGUUUUUUGUGGUCGAAAGGCAUAUCACGCACCGAAAUUCAUCGAAGAUUUUCGGUACAGUACGGGAACAGUGUUUUGCCACAACGGAGUGUCUACGAAUGUAUUGGAAAAAUUCCGAAAUGAUCGCACAAGUGUUAUGCACGAUGAAGGAGCCGGACGACUGUUUACCGCCACAAACGAAGAAACCAUUGAGCGUUCGCGUGAAAUCAUUCUCUUAGACAGACGAUUAACUAUUGACGAAGUGGCACAUCGCCUGCAAAUUAGUCACGGUUCUGCCUACAAAAUCAUCCAAAAUAGACUUGGGUUUCAUAAAGUUUGUGCAAGAUGGGCCCCAAAACAACAACUCACACAGUUGCAUAAACAAACGCGCUUCGACAUCUCCAAAGCACAUUUAGAUCGCUAUGUUAAUGAAGGGGACAACUUCUUAGACAGGAUCAUUACUGGUGACGAAACAUGGAUCCAUCAUUACGAGCCGGAGAGUAAACGGCAGAGUAUGGAAUGGAAACAUCCAAAUUUGCCGUGCAAGAAAAAGUUCAAGACCCAACCGUCCGCAGGAAAACUGAUGCAUACGGUUUUUUGGGACGCACAAGGUCCACUACUGGAACAUAAUGGGGUAAGGGGCACAACAAACAGUGUACGUUACAGUGAGAUGCUUAUGCCGAGCUAAAAGGCUGCAAUUCGAAGCAAACGCCGAGGAUUGCUGUCGAAAGGUGUGUCGUUGCAUCGUCCGCAUACUGCUGCCUACACUGCUGAAACGCUCCAGAAACUCAAAUUUGAAGUAAUGGAUCAUCCUCCAUAGAGUCCCGAUCUUGCCCCUUCUGAUUAUCACUUGUUUGAUCCACACAAACAGGCAUUAAGGGGCCGCCGAUUUGCCUCGGACGAAGUAGUGAAAGAAGCGGUGCAUUCCUGACUCGCAGCUCAACCGAAAACCUUCUUUUAUGAGGGCAUCAGGAAGCUUGUACAACGAUGGACCAAGUGCAUUGAAACGCAAGGAGACUAUGUCGAAAAACGAUGUUCUUGUAAGUUUCCGAUUUGAUUACAAUAAAAUUUUAUAACUACUUUGCGGAUAAUAAUUGACUUACCCUCGUACAUUUGUCUAUUUUGCCAGUAUUUUCAUCGGGCUGAUAUUUUGUCGAGUAUUACUACGGUUUAAAUCAUGUAAGCAACCUCAUGUAAAGUUGCAUUUUCGAAAAAAUAUUAUCGACUACGUCUUUAAUGAGUAACGAUAUGAAUAAUAUAAUCAAAGAUUAAUUGGGCAUUAUUAUGUAAAGAACUGUAAUAAUCGUCGUAACCUUCAAAAUAUUGAAAUAAGGGCUCCCCUCAAAUUUAAUAAUAUUAUCAAAACGGUAAUAUAUUGGCAUCUGAGAGGUAGACGUAAUGUCAACACUACCAAUAUUGACGAGAAGUUUUUAAUUACAUUUACAUAGCCUUACUUGAUGCACGCCAAGUGCUCGUAUUGCUUUCAAUAAAAUAUCAUAAUCCUCACUGGUAAUUAUAUGGGUUAUUUUUCCUCCAAAAUGUUUCAAUAUUGCUACUACGUAAAGAGCGUAUGUCAUCUCGAACUGGCUGUUUUGACAAUAGUCGUCAUUCAGGUGUUAGAGCUCAGCCUCUCCGAGUUAGUGUGCCAUGUAUGUACUGUUUGCUGUUUAUGUUACCAGUUCGUAUUUGUGUAUGUCAUUGCUCAGAUUCAAUUUUUCAAGUUGUCUCUUAACGCAAACGGGUUUUGUUAGGACUAUACAGACAGUUACUACAACAUUAUAGGGGUCAAUGGCAUUGCUUUCUUUGUUAAUCUGAAAACAGUAAUCCUAUUAAUUUGCUAAUUACACAGCUGUGUAGGAAAAUAGCGUGUACUUAUGAAAGUACAUCAUAUAUAUACAAUGGCUACUAAAAGAUUUGCGAAAUAUAUGUCAGCCUCACCAUAUUAUCACAAAACAUAAGUAUAUUACGUUAAUUACCUGAACAUAUCAUUGCAGGAUAGCUGUAAUCACGGGACAGGUUUCAGUAACAGUUUUGAUAUUCGUGUUUGUUGAUAUUACAGCACUAAACUUAAGGCAUUUGUUUGGCCUGCAUGUCGCCAGAGAUCUAAAAGUUGCACUUAAUUCUAUCAUUUGCUGCGAUUGCCUCUCUCAGUAAUGUAUUUUGCUUCUGCAUGUUAAAUUGCAUCAACAUGACCAUUUGUCGUAAGAUGCAGGGCUCAUCCAAAAAUAGUUUAUUAAAUCUUUCGGGUCACUGAAUUUACAUACGCCAAGUCGCUCCUUUUUUCAGCCAUUCUUGGAUGCAUUUCCACUUAUUCGUAGUUUACUAGCCGUACCUAAUAUAAUUGAGGCACACGCUUUACGUAUUCAACAUGUAAUAUUAUGAAGUCGCGUUGCCAACUGACAAUUAUUGAUGGUGUGAGAGCCGCUUUAAUAUAUCGAAGUUUUGACAAACUGUUAUUGUAAAUAAAUAAAUAAAUUGUAAAUAAAUAAAAAAUUGGAAGUGCACAGACCCCAUAUAUAUUAUAUGUGGCAAAAUUCACUUUCGUUCAUUACUUUAUUUUACUUCAACGUGAAAACUUCACGCGUUUCUGAAAUCAUAUGUAAAUUCGCAGUAUCAUUGUGCAACACCGCUCUGAUUCAGAUCUUUCUCGUCCUACCAAGAAACAACGGUGUAACUACGUUUCUGAGAUUCUAUUGGUCGGCUGUACUGCGCAGAUGUGUGAGAUCUCUGGUACUUUCGAGAUGCGCCUAGUUGUUGUCUGAUGCAAGGCGUAUAGCGUCGCGGUAAGCCGCUCCGUAUAAAUGGGUGUUACAAGCCCACUGCGCGCAGUUUGUCAGUGGAAAGCGUGAGGGUUUACGUGCCGGGUGUUUCUGCACUAGUGAGUUACAUCAUAUACAUAAUGUUGCGAUCAUUCGGAAGAGUGAUGCCAGCUACUGUGGCUGUUCGUCAAGCUUUGCGGCAGCCUGUCCAAUGCCGCAGUUUCUGGGAUUUCAGCAGAUCUUCUGAUCUUCGGUCCUUGGCACGUGAUAUGGAGCGGCAGGU